UGAACAUCGACAUCUUGAACGCAUAUUGCGGCCACGGGUUAGCCUGUGGCCACGCCUGUCCGAGGGUCGGCUUAUAAACUAUCACGACGCCCAACUAGUCGUGGCUUGGGUUUUGCCAGCUGACGUGUAUCCCCUAUUUGGCCUUUGGUCAAUGUGGGUAGUCAGAUCUAUGGCGUUUCCCUAAUGUAUCCAGGCACAACCAUAUCUUGGCGGCGGUCAGGAUGAGGGUGUGGCGAUGGAGUCGUGGCUUAAUUGUUUGCGCUCUGUUGCUGUGCUUUUGUCUUUGGACGUUGUUGGGUUUGGCUCUGUGACUGAUCCUACCUUUUGGUUCAUUUACCUGACCUCGGAUCAGACGUGAUUACCCGCUGAACUUAAGCAUA
RNAcentral lists this ribosomal RNA (380 nucleotides) under Saccocoelioides chauhani. RNAcentral describes it as "eukaryotic LSU rRNA". The stretch from base 1 to 69 matches the Rfam family "5.8S ribosomal RNA", at positions 86 to 154 of the family's 154-position model. Lineage: Eukaryota; Metazoa; Platyhelminthes; Trematoda; Plagiorchiida; Haploporidae. The record is from RNAcentral.